AUGCCAGGUGUUAUACCGGUAGCUUCAGGUGGUAUUCAUGUUUGGCAUAUGCCAGCUCUGACCGAAAUCUUUGGGGACGAUUCUGUAUUACAAUUUGGUGGAGGAACUUUAGGACAUCCUUGGGGAAAUGCACCUGGUGCAGCAGCUAAUCGAGUGGCUUUAGCCGGACAAAUUGAUAAGUCUGGCAUUCCCAGCCCACCAAGCAAAGCCGGUGGUUUCUUGGUCACGACCAGCUAA
Molecule: ribosomal RNA, 237 nt
Filed under: Triticum aestivum (bread wheat)
Lineage: Eukaryota; Viridiplantae; Streptophyta; Magnoliopsida; Poales; Poaceae
Description: partial small subunit ribosomal RNA
Source: RNAcentral